Small nucleolar RNA from Sorex araneus (European shrew), 130 nucleotides. Its record names the gene U8. It matches the Rfam family "U8 small nucleolar RNA". From Rfam's summary of the family: U8 is a member of the C/D class of snoRNA which contain the C (UGAUGA) and D (CUGA) box motifs. U8 is the RNA component of a small complex (the U8 snoRNP) which is required for accumulation of mature large subunit ribosomal RNAs, 5.8S and 28S rRNAs. The record is from Ensembl. NCBI's taxonomy places the organism in Eukaryota, Metazoa, Chordata, Mammalia, Eulipotyphla, Soricidae.
UCAUCAGGUGGAUAAUCCUUAACUGUUCCUCUAUUCAGAGGGCAGAUAGAACACAAUGGUUGGAGUUAGCAUGAUUUGUGAUUAAUGUCUCUCUGUGAUUAGAGCUUGAAACACCCUAAUGCUAUCUGAU